GGUUUUCAACGGUUAUAUUGACAUGUUCAACUAGCUAUUGAAUCGUUCGAGCAUAUAAUUGACAAGUUCAGAAAGUUAUUGAAUUGUACGGAAGAUGGCGUUGACAAGUUCGACACAUCUGUUGAAUAGUUCGGUUGCAGCGUUUUGGCGGCUGCACCAAUUCGUGUAGUAUUUGCACUGGGUCAGCCUUGUCAAACUUGUAAACAUACGAAGCGUCAAGCUAGCUGCGGAUGUGUUGUGGCUCGUGCAUUUUACUAUACCAAACAUUUAUCCAAACUAUUAGUUGGCUCUCGGACAAUUGAACAGCCCACACCAAUACCAGCGUGGUUGCAGCAGUUGUCUAGUGGUGCGGUAGCAGCUACACAUUACAUAUUUGUGCCAACGAGCAAUUCCUUUGUAGCAAAAUUAUUUUGUUCAGUGAAAAUCGUCAAAAAACACUGGAGAAAUGGCUACUAAUAAACGAGCUACUAUUUCGCACGAAGAAAA
Long non-coding RNA from Anopheles arabiensis, 486 nucleotides. RefSeq lists it as uncharacterized. The record is from RefSeq and is a predicted model, not a curated record. Lineage: Eukaryota; Metazoa; Arthropoda; Insecta; Diptera; Culicidae. The transcript has 2 exons.